Molecule: ribosomal RNA, 610 nt
Filed under: uncultured bacterium
Lineage: Bacteria
Description: bacterial SSU rRNA
Rfam family: Bacterial small subunit ribosomal RNA
Source: RNAcentral
AGAGUUUGAUCCUGGCUCAGGAUGAACGUUGGCGGCGUGCCUAACACAUGCAAGUCGAACGGGAAGUCGGGCUUCGGCCUGGCGGAGAGUGGCGCACGGGCGAGUAACACGUAGCUGACCUGCCCUCGAGAGCGGGAUAACGCACCGAAAGGUGUGCUAAUACCGCAUAAGCUCACGGUAAUCAGAACGCUGUGAGAAAAACUCCGGUGCUCGAGGAUGGGGCUGCGGCCCAUCAGCUAGUUGGUGCGGUAAAGGCGCACCAAGGCGACGACGGGUAGGGGACCUGAGAGGGUGACCCCCCACACUGGGACUGAGACACGGCCCAGACUCCUACGGGAGGCAGCAGUGAGGAAUAUUGCGCAAUGGACGAAAGUCUGACGCAGCAACGCCGCGUGGGUGAUGAAGGUUUUCGGAUCGUAAAGCCCUUUUCUGCGUGACGAGGAAGGACGGUAGCGCAGGAAUAGGUGUCGGCUAACUACGUGCCAGCAGCCGCGGUAAAACGUAGGACGCAAACGUUAUCCGGAAUUACUGGGCGUAAAGCGCGCGCAGGCGGGUCGGCAAGUCGCUCGUGAAAGCUCCCGGCUAAACUGGGAGAGGUCGGGCGAAACUA